Molecule: ribosomal RNA, 492 nt
Filed under: uncultured bacterium
Lineage: Bacteria
Description: partial 16S ribosomal RNA
Rfam family: Bacterial small subunit ribosomal RNA
Source: RNAcentral
AUUGAACGCUGGCGGCAUGCUUUACACAUGCAAGUCGAACGGUAACAGGCCUUCGGGUGCUGACGAGUGGCGAACGGGUGAGUAAUGCAUCGGAACGUGCCCAGAGGUGGGGGAUAACGCAGCGAAAGCUGUGCUAAUACCGCAUGUGAUCUGAGGAUGAAAGCGGGGGACCAAGCAGCAAUGUUUGGCCUCGCGCCUCUGGAGCGGCCGAUGUCAGAUUAGGUAGUUGGUGGGGUAAAGGCCUACCAAGCCGACGAUCUGUAGCUGGUCUGAGAGGACGACCGGCCACAGGGGGAGAGAGACGCGGCCAGGACUCCGAGGGGGGGGAGGAGGGGGAAUUUUUGGACAAGGGGGGCAAGCCGGACCAAGCAGGCCCGCGGGGGGAAAGAGGGCUUUGGGGUUUUAACCCUUUUUUGCGGGAAAGAAAAAGUCUCGGGCAAAACCGGGGGGGGAAGGAGGGAACGUAAAAAAAAAACACGGGCAAACUACGUC